This 254-nucleotide ribosomal RNA is filed under the name uncultured bacterium. Its description in RNAcentral is "partial 16S ribosomal RNA". It matches the Rfam family "Bacterial small subunit ribosomal RNA", at positions 524 to 776 of the family's 1533-position model. The record is from RNAcentral.
UACGGAGGGGGCUAGCGUUGUUCGGAAUUACUGGGCGUAAAGCGCACGUAGGCGGCUUUGUAAGUUAGAGGUGAAAGCCCCGGGGCUCAACUCCGGAAUUGCCUUUAAGACUGCAUCGCUAGAAUUGUGGAGAGGUAAGUGGAAUUCCGAGUGUAGAGGUGAAAUUCGUAGAUAUUCGGAAGAACACCAGUGGCGAAGGCGACUUACUGGACACAUAUUGACGCUGAGGUGCGAAAGCCAGGGGAGCGAACGGG